UAAGUACUCCCUCCGUACCAAAAUUCUUGUCUUAGAUUUGUCUAAAUACGGAUGUAUCAAGUCACGUUUUAGUAUUAGAUACAUCCGUAUCUGGGCAAAUCUAAGACAAGAAUUUUGGGACGGAGGGAGUAUAUA
Triticum aestivum (bread wheat) is the source of this 135-nucleotide non-coding RNA. The record is from Rfam. NCBI's taxonomy places the organism in Eukaryota, Viridiplantae, Streptophyta, Magnoliopsida, Poales, Poaceae.